AGAAAGAAGAGUUUGAUCCUGGCUCAGGAUGAACGCUAGCGGCAGGCCUCAUACAUGCAAGUCGAGGGGCAGCGGAACACUUCGGUGUUGCCGGCGACCGGCGAACGGGUGCGUAAUGCGCAUGCAAUCUACUUUACACUGGGGAAUAGCCUCCGGAAACGGGAAUUAAUACCCCAUAUAAUCUUACUAACGCAUGUUAGAAAGAUAAAAGCUCGGGCGGUGUAAAAUGAGCGUGUGUCCUAUUAGCUAGUUGGAGAGGUAAUGGCUCACCAAGGCUACGAUGGGUAGGGGUUCUUAGUGGAAGGUCCCCCACACUGGCACUGAGAUACGGGCCAGACUCCUACGGGAGGCAGCAGUAGGGAAUAUUGGUCAAUGGGCGCAAGCCUGAACCAGCCAUGCCGCGUGCAGGAUGAAAGCUCUAUGAGUUGUAAACUGCUUUUGUACAGGAGCAAAACAAUCCCUGCGGGGGUUCUUGAGAGUACUGUAAGAAUAAGCACCGGCUAAUUCCGUGCCAGCAGCCGCGGUAAUACGGAAGGUGCAAGCGUUAUCCGGUUUUAUUGGGUUUAAAGGGUGUGUAGGCGGUUUAUUAAGUCAGUUGUGAAAUCCUAGUGCUUAACGCUAGAACUGCAAUUGAUACUAUUAGACUUGAGUUAAGAAUAGGUAAGUAGAAUUUAUGGUGUAGUAGUGAAAUGCUUAGAUAUC
RNAcentral lists this ribosomal RNA (702 nucleotides) under Bacteroidetes bacterium endosymbiont of Bemisia tabaci. Its description in RNAcentral is "bacterial SSU rRNA". It matches the Rfam family "Bacterial small subunit ribosomal RNA", at positions 1 to 698 of the family's 1533-position model. The record is from RNAcentral. Lineage: Bacteria; Pseudomonadati; Bacteroidota.